AAGCGUAAUAGCUCACUGGUCUAGUGAUUCUGCGCGGAAAAUAUAACGGGGCUAAAAUGAGUACCGAAGCUUUAGACUUAGUUUUACUAAGUGGUAGGAGAGCGUUGUAUUUAGCGUUGAAGGUAUACCGGUAAGGAGUGCUGGAGCGAAUACAAGUGAGCAUGCAGGCAUGAGUAGCGAUAAUUGGGGUGAGAAUCCCCAACGCCGUAAACCCAAGGUUUCCUACGCGAUGCUCGUCAUCGUAGGGUUAGUCGGGUCCUAAGCAAAGUCCGAAAGGGGUAUGCGAUGGAAAAUUGGUUAAUAUUCCAAUACCAAUUAUUAUGUGCGAUGGAAGGACGCUUAAAGUUAGUGGAGCUAGCGGAUGGAAGUGCUAGUCUAAGGGUGUAGGUUGAGUUAUAGGCAAAUCCGUAACUCUUUAUCCGAGACCUAAAAGGCUCAUGACGCUCUUCGGAGUAGAUUGAGAAUCCAUGAUACUAUCGAGCCAAGAAAAGUUUCUAAGUUUAGUUAUAGUUGCCCGUACCGUAAACCGACACAG
Molecule: ribosomal RNA, 535 nt
Filed under: Xanthomonas citri pv. citri
Lineage: Bacteria; Pseudomonadati; Pseudomonadota; Gammaproteobacteria; Lysobacterales; Lysobacteraceae
Description: partial 23S ribosomal RNA
Rfam family: Bacterial large subunit ribosomal RNA
Source: RNAcentral